This 153-nucleotide unclassified non-coding RNA is filed under the name uncultured Cosmospora. RNAcentral's name for it is "sequence contains ITS1". The record is from RNAcentral. Lineage: Eukaryota; Fungi; Ascomycota; Sordariomycetes; Hypocreales; Nectriaceae.
CCGAGUUUACAACUCCCAAACCCCUGUGAACAUACCUUUUGUUGCUUCGGCGGGAUCGCCCCGGUGCCCUCGGGCCCGGAUCCAGGCGCCCGCCGGAGGACCUAAACUCUUGUCUUCAUGAGUAUCUUCUGAGUGACAUAAGCAAAUAAAUUA